UAGUGGUGGUAACCACUAAUAGUCACAGCUAAUUGGGAGGCUGAGGUGAGAUGAUCUCUUGAGUCCAGGAGUUCUGGGCUGCAGUGCACUAAUCCAUUUGGGUGUUGGCACUAAGUUUGGCAUCAAUAUGGUGACCUCCUGGGAGUGGGGGACCACCAGGUUGCUUAAGGAGGGGUGAACCAGCCCAGAUCUGAAAUGAAGCAUGUCAAAACCCCAUGCCAAUCAGUUACUUUCAUUGUACUUUAUCAUGGAAUUAUUUUACUUCUCCAUCAGUUUAGAAAUAGAAUUUCACAUGGU
Molecule: signal recognition particle RNA, 297 nt
Filed under: Octodon degus (degu)
Lineage: Eukaryota; Metazoa; Chordata; Mammalia; Rodentia; Octodontidae
Description: Metazoan signal recognition particle RNA (ENSODEG00000025819.1)
Rfam family: Metazoan signal recognition particle RNA
About the family: The signal recognition particle (SRP) is a universally conserved ribonucleoprotein. It is involved in the co-translational targeting of proteins to membranes.
Source: RNAcentral